Molecule: ribosomal RNA, 800 nt
Filed under: uncultured bacterium
Lineage: Bacteria
Description: bacterial SSU rRNA
Rfam family: Bacterial small subunit ribosomal RNA
Source: RNAcentral
AGAGUUUGAUCCUGGCUCAGAUUGAACGCUGGCGGAAUGCUUUACACAUGCAAGUCGAACGGUAGAGGGGGCAACCCCUUGAGAGUGGCGAACGGGUGAGUAAUAUAUCGGAACGUGCCCAGUCGUGGGGGAUAACGUAGUGAAAAUUACGCUAAUACCGCAUACGAUCUAAGGAUGAAAGCGGGGGAUCGCAAGACCUCGCGCGAUUGGAGCGGCCGAUAUCAGAUUAGGUAGUUGGUAGGGUAAAGGCCUACCAAGCCAACGAUCUGUAGCUGGUCUGAGAGGACGACCAGCCACACUGGAACUGAGACACGGUCCAGACUCCUACGGGAGGCAGCAGUGGGGAAUUUUGGACAAUGGGCGAAAGCCUGAUCCAGCCAUUCCGCGUGCAGGAUGAAGGCCCUCGGGUUGUAAACUGCUUUUGUACAGAACGAAAAGGUCUCUAUUAAUACUAGGGGCUCAUGACGGUACUGUAAGAAUAAGCACCGGCUAACUACGUGCCAGCAGCCGCGGUAAUACGUAGGGUGCAAGCGUUAAUCGGAAUUACUGGGCGUAAAGCGUGCGCAGGCGGUUAUAUAAGUCAGAUGUGAAAUCCCCGGGCUCAACCUGGGAACUGCAUUUGAGACUGUAUAGCUAGAGUACGGUAGAGGGGGAUGGAAUUCCGCGUGUAGCAGUGAAAUGCGUAGAUAUGCGGAGGAACACCGAUGGCGAAGGCAAUCCCCUGGACCUGUACUGACGCUCAUGCACGAAAGCGUGGGGAGCAAACAGGAUUAGAUACCCUGGUAGUCCACGCCCUAAAC